RNAcentral lists this ribosomal RNA (391 nucleotides) under uncultured Staphylococcus sp. Its description in RNAcentral is "bacterial SSU rRNA". It matches the Rfam family "Bacterial small subunit ribosomal RNA", at positions 1014 to 1406 of the family's 1533-position model. The record is from RNAcentral. Lineage: Bacteria; Bacillati; Bacillota; Bacilli; Caryophanales; Staphylococcaceae.
CCCCUUCGGGGGACAGAGUGACAGGUGGUGCAUGGUUGUCGUCAGCUCCUGUCGUGAGAUGUUGGGUUAAGUCCCGCAACGAGCGCAACCCUUAAGCUUAGUUGCCAUCAUUAAGUUGGGCACUCUAAGUUGACUGCCGGUGACAAACCGGAGGAAGGUGGCGAUGACGUCUAAUCAUCAUGCCGCUUAUGAUUUGCGCUACACACGUGCUACAAUGGACAAUACAAAGGGCAGCGAAACCGCGAGGUCAAGCAAACCCCAUAAAGUUGUUCUCAGUUCGGAUUGUAGUCUGCAACUCGACUAUAUGAAGCUGGAAUCGCUAGUAAUCGUAGAUCAGCAUGCUACGGUGAAUACGUUCCCGGGUCUUGUACACACCGCCCGUCACACCACG